Molecule: long non-coding RNA, 855 nt
Organism: Budorcas taxicolor (takin)
Lineage: Eukaryota; Metazoa; Chordata; Mammalia; Artiodactyla; Bovidae
Exons: 3
Source: RefSeq, a predicted model, not a curated record
CUUUUGUUACGUGGCUUUAUCGCUUCCUUCCCCCGCUGAAGGCCGAGGCCAAUCCUCACCCUUUUCUGGAGCAAAACACCCCCUCCCCACUCGGCGGCUCCAGCCGGAUGGUAGAGGGCCUCUUCCCUUGGGGCUGGCGGACCCGCUGACCGUGGAACCGCCUGGGCUAUUUCGGUUCCUUCUCCGCCCCGCGGCCUUGGCUUCCUGCUGAGUUUCCCUACGCUUCCCUUAGCUCACCAGUGACCACAGACGCCGCUUUCAGAGAACUUACUUUAUGUCAAACAGACCAUUUGCGUCUUGUUUGCGUCUUUUUUUUUUUUUGGCCUGAUUUUUUAGGGCAACGGUGCGGAUAUCCUUACCCAUCCUCCCUCCCCCCAUUACAGCGCAGGGAUCUAAUCAAAACGAGUGAUCUGGAAUUCUUUGCUGGCUUCUGUGAGGAGCAUCCUGGCUUAAGGCACGUUCCUCCCCGCAUCCUCAUGCCCCUUCCUGCCCCCUGACCCAGCAGAGAAAGAGCCUGGGAGCUGCCAGUACUGAAGCCCAUGUGCCCUGGAGCCUGUGCUCCUCAACAGAAGCCACGGCAACGAGAAGCCCAUGCACUGCGACUGGAGACCAGCCCCUGCUCCCCGCCAGCUGGAGAAACGCCCUCGCAGCAACAAAGACCCAGCACAGCCAAAAACAAAUGAAUAAGUAAAAUUAAAAAAAACUGGGAGUUGGAAAGUGGUCAGUAUAACCAGAGAAGCAGACUCACAGAUACAGAGAAAAGCCUAGUGGUUACCAGUGUGGAGGAGGGACAACAUGGGUGGGGGAGUGGUCAGCACAAAUGACUGGGUGUACAGGAGGUUCAAGGAUGUAUUG